UCCUCUAUGGUCCAGUGGUCAGGAUCCCUGUCUUUCACACAGGUGGCCCGGGUUCGAUUCCCGGUGGGGGAA
Molecule: transfer RNA, 72 nt
Organism: Lichtheimia corymbifera
Lineage: Eukaryota; Fungi; Mucoromycota; Mucoromycetes; Mucorales; Lichtheimiaceae
Rfam family: tRNA
About the family: Transfer RNA (tRNA) molecules are approximately 80 nucleotides in length. Their secondary structure includes four short double-helical elements and three loops (D, anti-codon, and T loops).
Source: Rfam